GAUGAACGCUGACAGAAUGCUUAACACAUGCAAGUCAACUUGAAUUUGGGUUUUUUAACUUAGAUUUGGGUGGCGGACGGGUGAGUAACGCGUAAAGAACUUGCCUCACAGCUAGGGACAACAUUUGGAAACGAAUGCUAAUACCUGAUAUUAUGAUUAUAAGGCAUCUUAGAAUUAUGAAAGCUAUAUGCGCUGUGAGAGAGCUUUGCGUCCCAUUAGCUAGUUGGAGAGGUAACGGCUCACCAAGGCGAUGAUGGGUAGCCGGCCUGAGAGGGUGAACGGCCACAAGGGGACUGAGAGACGCACCUUACUCCUACGGGAGGCAGCAGUGGGGAAUAUUGGACAAGGGGACAAGAGUCUGAUCCAGCAAUUCUGUGUGCACGAUGACGUUUUUCGGAAUGUAAAGUGCUUUCAGUUGGGAAGAAAAAAAUGACGGUACCAACAGAAGAAGUGACGGCUAAAUACGU
Molecule: ribosomal RNA, 467 nt
Filed under: uncultured bacterium
Lineage: Bacteria
Description: partial 16S ribosomal RNA
Rfam family: Bacterial small subunit ribosomal RNA
Source: RNAcentral